This 203-nucleotide long non-coding RNA is filed under the name Phoenix dactylifera (date palm). RNAcentral describes it as "long non-coding RNA (PDAC_LNC020533)". Lineage: Eukaryota; Viridiplantae; Streptophyta; Magnoliopsida; Arecales; Arecaceae. The record is from RNAcentral.
CCAAUACUCGUAGAGAUGAUAAUGAUGAUGCCAUCGAUCCUCAAUAACUCUUAGACUAUUUUUUUAAGAGUUUUAUAUUUUUUAUAUUUUUUCGAAGCACAUUGUAGAUGUAAAUUGAUAAUAUAAAUGUAAUCAUAUUUGACAAUAUGAAUAUUUUCUAUUUCUAUUGAUAUUACAUGUGUUAUUAUAUGACUUAUGUUGUG